Molecule: ribosomal RNA, 492 nt
Filed under: uncultured bacterium
Lineage: Bacteria
Description: partial 16S ribosomal RNA
Rfam family: Bacterial small subunit ribosomal RNA
Source: RNAcentral
AGUGAACGCUGGCGGUAGGCCUAACACAUGCAAGUCGAACGGCAGCACAGUAAGAGCUUGCUCUUACGGGUGGCGAGUGGCGGACGGGUGAGGAAUACAUCGGAAUCUACUUUUUCGUGGGGGAUAACGUAAGGAAACCUACGCUAAUACCGCAUACGACCUACGGGUGAAAGCAGGGGAUCUUCGGACCUUGCGCGAUUGAAUGAGCCGAUGUCGGAUUAGCUAGUUGGCGGGGUAAAGGCCCACCAAGGCGACGAACCGUAGCUGGUCUGAGAGGAGGAUCGGCCACACUGGAAGUGAGACACGGUCCAGACGCCUACGGGAGGCAGCAGUGGGGAAUAGUGGACAAUGGGCGCGAGCCUGAUCCAGCCAGACCGCGUGGGUGAAGAAGGCGUUCGGGUUGUAAAGCCGGUUUGUUGGGAAAGAACAGCAGCAGGUUAAUACCCCGCUGUUCUGACGGUACCCAAAGAAUAAGCACCGGCUAACUUCGUG